This is a long non-coding RNA of Bos taurus (domestic cattle), 2267 nucleotides long. Lineage: Eukaryota; Metazoa; Chordata; Mammalia; Artiodactyla; Bovidae. The record is from Ensembl.
GGAGAGUUUAAUAGAGUUUGACCUCAGCAGUUCUAACCUCUAGUACAGAGAGUUUUAAUUCUUUGCCAUCAGUCUUGGGAAGGGUCACCCUGCUCCGCUCAGAGACACCUUGCUACCUCCGCAUUCUUCAUCACUGGGGAGGAGAAACAGCUCCAGUGGCGAGUCCGCUUGCUUGGUGCCUUGGGUACUUAUUUCUGUAAAAACUCAACAAGAAGGGAUAGCACGGUUAAGGCCGAGUUCAUAUGGCAAGAGUCCCAGUUCAUUUCAUUGCGGUUCUGGUCUUCUCUCCUGGCUUUCCCCCUGCAAUCAGCAGGGUCUUGGUUGUGUUUCUAUACCCUUGAUCUCUCUGGGUCAGACCCCAGCUCACCACACAGCUGGGUUGGUGGUGAGAACCUAGGUGGGCCCCUUACUGUGGCCAUGAGGCCUCGGACGCACGGAUCUUCUUAACUCCAGCUGCAUAUUGCUGUGCGUGCGCGCAUGCUCAGUUGCUUCAGUCAUGACUGGCUCUUUGCGACCCUAUGGACAGUAGCCCGCCAGGCUCCUCUGUCCAUGGGAUUCUCCAGGCAAGAAUACCAGAGUGGAUUCCCAGGCCCUCCUCCAGGGGAUCUUCCCACGGACGGAACUUGCAUCUCCUAUAUCUCCUGCAUUGCAGCUGGAAAAUUGCUAUUUGUUUUGGGCUGCGUUCAGUGAGCUGUGAACUGCCCCAGGAUUAAUUAAACCUGCCUGUUCAUCAUCUAUCGGUGUAUCAGCUGUUAGUGAUAAGAGGCCCUUGAGAAGUUGAGGAGAACGAUGGGUGAGCAAAGCAGAUGGGCAAGUGCAAGGGAAGCCUCAAAACCCAAGACUAAGUUGAAUGCUUCUGAGAGCCACUGAACUGAAUUUGGCAAACACUGCUGGUCUGUUUCUCAUGUCAAUCAUGGGAGUUGCAGAACUGGGUCUGGAUGGAUGUUCAGGAAUUUGCAAGAGCAAAGAACAUUCUCCCUGUGUGGCAACUGGACACUGAACAUGGACUCUGGAGGGAGGUGGACAUGGCUAGCAGGGCCUGCCAGGUUGAAAGGCAGCAUCAACACGAUUGACAGCUGAAACCCGACCCUCUGCACCACACCCAGAAGCCCCUGGACAACUUCCGGCUGCCCCAGGGUGAGGAGGGAGCUUGUGGCCCUACUCAGUGCUGGACAGGCAGGGGGAAAGCUGGACCAUCUUUGCAGUUCAGAUCAUCACCUGGAAGGGUCUGUGGCAUCGUGCCCUGGCCUCGCAUCACAAAGGUCUUUGCGCGAUGUUCUGGCUUCCAGGCUGUGUGGCUAAGUGUCGGGAAAUGAAGGCACAUGGAGGCCGAAGGAGGGUCUCACGGCUGCUCUGAGUUCCAGCAGCUGAGAAGCCUGUGGCUGGUGGCCUUGCCUGAUGGCCCUUUAUGAUGUCAUAGUCUGGCCCAUGUUAGACUCUCCACAAAUGUUAUUGGAUGGAUAGAUGGAUGGACAGAUGGUAUUACUUAAACCAAGCAGCUGUACUCUCUCUUGCUUGAUAAGUGAUUAAUAAAAUAAGACAUUCCCAGUCUUUCUUUUUAUUAAUAAGUCAAAAAGGGAAAGGUGAAAGUGCAUAUAUAUGUAUGUAUAACUGAUUCACUUUGCUGCACAUCUGAAACUAACAGCAUUGUAAGUCAACUAUAUACCAGUAUAAGAUUAAAAGAAGGAAAGUUGAAUGUAUGCAAAUGUGUGGGAGUAUAUACAUGUGGGAGAGUGUAUAAGUAUGUAUGUGAGUGUGUGUGUGUGUGUGCUUUUGUGUGAACACAUGUACCUGCCUAAGUACUUGUGACUCUGGGUACAUGUGAUUGUGUGUACAUAUAUGUGAGAGUGUCCUUGGGUGUGUCUGUGUAUGGGGUGUGUGAGUGUGAGUUUGUGAAUGUCUGAGCGUGAGGAUAUGCACGACAGUCACCUACACACGAACCUUCAAACUGCAAACUUUGAAAGAUACGAAUGUGCAUCUAGUUCCAGCAAGGAGCCAGAACCCAUGCCGUCAGCAUCAGGCGUGAGUGAACUCUUAGCUUGCCCUCCGUCUCCUGUUGCUGACGGCCCUUCAGCUCUACCGUCUCCCACCUCCUCUCCCUCCUCCAUCAGGAACUCUUCUGGCCUGUUCACUCCGUGCCAGCCCCUGUGUGCCAGCUAUUGUACUGUGCUUUACUUUCAUAGGUCCUCUAAGAUUAAAAAUGUUUUCCUAAUUUUCUGUUUGUUUUUUAUGAAUUAUUUAUGUGAAAAGUAUUAUAAACCUAUUGC